AUGCUGGUGACGCCCAAGAUGGCUUCCAAGGCCGAGUCGCCCGUCUCCUGCUCCGCGCCGACCCCGCCCAAGCCCUCGCCGGUGGGCGCCGACGAGAUGCGCGCCGUCGCGCGCAAGUUCGCCGACCAGCCCGUGCAGAACCCGGAGCCCGGCGUCUGGGCCGUCCUCACCGCCAUCUCCAAGAAGGCCCGCCUCCGCUCCGAGGGGAUGAACAUUCUUUUGAGUGCUGACGAGCACAUUCUAGGCCGCACGGUCGAGAACCCUCGCUUCAGGAUUUCUGCUGUGUCAGUCAGCGGGAAUCAUUGCAAGAUAUAUAAGGACACUGUGAUAGGGGAGCUGCAGCGCGAUGAGCCUGUGCCUGUUUACCUCAAGGACUCGAGCACGAAUGGCACAUACGUCAACUGGAAUAAGUUUAUGAAACGUUCACCUCCGACCAAGCUUAAUCAUGGGGACAUCAUAUCAUUUACCACACCUCCUCAUCACGAUGCCUCCUAUGCAUUUGUCUAUCGGGAAGUUAAUGCAGUCAGCUGCGUAGGGAAUGGUACUACCAUACUUAAAAGAAAAUCAGGGGAGAUGGGUUCUGAAAGCAAGAGGCUAAAGGGUCUGGGCAUUGGUUCAUCUGAUGGUCCUGUUUCACUAGAUGAUGUUCGAAGACUAGAAAAAUCUAAUGCAGAGCUCAGGGAACAACUCGAGGCACAUGUUGUGACAAUUGAGACAUUGAGAACUGCAAGCAAAACAGCUGAAGAGCAGCAUGAAAAGGAACUGAAGGAGUUCAAAGAAACUACAUCAAGUUCUUAUCUCGAGCAAACUAAAUCUCUUCAGCUAGCACUAGAGGGGAAACAGAAACAACUAGAUACUCUUAGUACAUUAAAUACAGAGUUACAGAAUUCCAUAAAAGAUCUGGAUGAGAGGCUUAGUGCAUCAAAGCAAUCACGUGCUGAUGCUGAUGAGAUAAUUCAAAGCCAGAAGGCAAAUAUAUGCGAGCUUGAGGAACAGCUAAGUGAGGAGAGAAACUUAAGAAUAGAGGAGCGUGAUAAGGCUGCAGAAGACCUUAAAUCUGCACUGCAUAAAGUACAAGCAGAGGCUCAAGACGAAAUGAAGAGACAGACAGAGGCUUACCUUAAACAACAAAAGGAACAGAAAGAGUUUAUCAUCAAGCUUCAGGAAUCGGAAAAAGACACCCGUUUGCUCGUGGAAACAUUAAGGUCCAAGCUGGAAGACUCUCGUGAAAGCCUUGUAACAUCUGAGAAAAAAGUGCGAGAACUGGAGACUCAACUCCAGGAUGAGCAGCUUGUGUCUGCUAAAAGUCAGAAGAAAUCUGAUAAUCUGGAAACUGAACUGCGAAAGCUCAAGAAAGAACUUGAAAAUGAGAAGCAGGCUGCUCGGGAAGAAGCAUGGGCAAAGGUCUCAUCUCUUGAACUUGAAGUAGCUGCUACAAUGAGAGAUCUAUCAAUUGAAAAGCGUAGGUAUCAAGGGGCCAGAGAAAGAGUUAUUUUACGAGAGACCCAACUGCGUGCUUUCUAUUCAACCACGGAAGAGAUCUCUUCUCUAUUUGCAAAACAGCAGGAACAGCUUAAGGCUAUGCAGAGAACUUUAGAGGACGAAGAGAACUAUGAGAGCACCUUGCUGGGUCUUGAUCUCAAUGAAGUACCAGUAGCAAAUGUGAACACCGAUAAUGCCCGUGUAAAGCCAGCAGACUACGCAAACGAUACGUUGGAAGCUUCGGGUGCUUCAGCAGAGAAUACCCAAGCAAGCGAACAUAGUUCCACCGAUGAGGAUGCUGAUAUGACCGAGCAGCAGGAUGGUGGUACCAGAAUUGAAGGGGGCACUCAAGACUUAGAGUGCACUAGUCCAGAUAGGACAGUAGAGAAAAUCGGAUCUGAUUCUCAUGGUGAUCAUACUGCUACAGCUCCUGAGCAAGAGACCGAGCAAGUUUUGGAGACAGAAAGCCAAAUUGGCAAUGUUGGCUGCAAUGAUCAUAAUUCCAUUAACAGCGUUAUGGGGGGAGAGACUUUGCAGCUAGAGGAUGAAAUGCAGGCACAACAAGAAACCGAGGAAUCUAACUUGAUUCCAAAAGAUGGAGGGCUGCCACUAGUUAAUGAGGAACAACAACCCCUAACCCUCAAAGAUGGCAUUGGUCAGUGUUCUGAAGGGAAACGUGAGGGCGACUGCUCUGCGAGCAAACCUGACGACACGCAGGAUGGAACUAUUCGCACAGCUGAUCUGUUGGCCUCAGAAGUUGCCGGUAGCUGGGCAGUGGAAACAGGACCAUCUGUCAAUGGGGAGAAUGAGUCUCCGUGCUGCUCGGAAGACGUGGGUGGUGACCCCUCUGAAGGACACGAUGAUGACGCAGGAGAAAGAACAGCAGCUGAUGCUCUGACCAGUUUGGUUAACUCUGAUGGCCACUCAGCUGGUAGCCAGACUAAUGCCGAUGGUCGUCGAGCUAUUAAUCAUAUGAUUGGACUUCUUGAUCCUGAAAAGAAGCUCCCAGGAAACUUUGUUGAAGAUAGCGAGUCUGAUGCUGAGACUCGGGACGGUAGUGAGGCCGGGGAUGCAGAUAUUGACAGUGAAGCCAUGGUUGAGGACUCUGUGGGUUAG
RNAcentral lists this ribosomal RNA (2598 nucleotides) under Triticum aestivum (bread wheat). RNAcentral describes it as "partial small subunit ribosomal RNA". The record is from RNAcentral. Lineage: Eukaryota; Viridiplantae; Streptophyta; Magnoliopsida; Poales; Poaceae.